CUACGGGUGGCUGCAGUGGGGAAUUUUGGACAAUGGAGGAAACUCUGAUCCAGGGAUACCGCGUGGGUGAUGAAGAUUUACGGAUUGUAAAGCCCUUUUAGUAGGGAAAAUAAUGAUGGUACCUACAGAAAAAGCAUCAGCUAACUCUGUGCCAGCAGCUGCGGUAAUACAGAGGAUGCGAGUGUUAUUCGGAAUCACUGGGCGUAAAGGGCGCGUAGGCGGUUAUUUAAGUCCGCAAUGAAAUACCGGGGCUCAACUUCGGUGCUGUUGUGGAUACUGUUUAACUAGAGAACGGAAGAGGUGAAUAGAAUUCCUGGUGGAGAGGUGAAAUUCUUAGAUAUCAGGAGGAAUGCCAGAGGCGAAAGCGGUUCACUGGGACGUUUCUGACGCUGAGGCGCGAAAGCGUGGGGAUCAAACAGGAUUAGAUACCCCCGUAGUC
Molecule: ribosomal RNA, 439 nt
Filed under: uncultured bacterium
Lineage: Bacteria
Description: partial 16S ribosomal RNA
Rfam family: Bacterial small subunit ribosomal RNA
Source: RNAcentral